Molecule: ribosomal RNA, 455 nt
Filed under: uncultured bacterium
Lineage: Bacteria
Description: bacterial SSU rRNA
Rfam family: Bacterial small subunit ribosomal RNA
Source: RNAcentral
AGGCAGCAGUGGGGAAUAUUGCACAAUGGGCGCAAGCCUGAUGCAGCCAUGCCGCGUGUAUGAAGAAGGCCUUCGGGUGUAAAGUACUUUCAGCAGUGAGGAAGGUGGGUAUGUUAAUAGCAUACUCAUUUGACGUUAGCUGCAGAAGAAGCACCGGCUAACUCCGUGCCAGCAGCCGCGGUAAUACGGAGGGUGCGAGCGUUAAUCGGAAUUACUGGGCGUAAAGCGCAUGCAGGUGGUUUGUUAAGUCAGAUGUGAAAGCCCGGGGCUCAACCUCGGAAUUGCAUUUGAAACUGGCAAACUAGAGUACUGUAGAGGGGGGUAGAAUUUUCAGGUGUAGCGGUGAAAUGCGUAGAGAUCUGAAGGAAUACCGGUGGCGAAGGCGGCCCCCUGGACAGAUACUGACACUCAGAUGCGAAAGCGUGGGGAGCAAACAGGAUUAGAUACCCUGGUAG